RNAcentral lists this transfer RNA (63 nucleotides) under Nipponeurorthus fuscinervis. Its description in RNAcentral is "tRNA-Leu". The record is from RNAcentral. Lineage: Eukaryota; Metazoa; Arthropoda; Insecta; Neuroptera; Nevrorthidae.
AUUAUAUUGGCAGAUUAGUGCAUUGAAUUUAGAAUUCAAAAAUGUAAAGUUUUACAUAUAAUA